UGGGGAAUAUUGCACAAUGGGCGCAAGCCUGAUGCAGCGACGCCGCGUGGGGGAUGACGGCCUUCGGGUUGUAAACUCCUUUCGCCAGGGACGAAGCGUUUUGUGACGGUACCUGGAGAAGAAGCACCGGCUAACUACGUGCCAGCAGCCGCGGUAAUACGUAGGGUGCAAGCGUUGUCCGGAAUUACUGGGCGUAAAGAGCUCGUAGGUGGUUUGUCACGUCGUCUGUGAAAUUCCACAGCUUAACUGUGGGCGUGCAGGCGAUACGGGCUGACUUGAGUACUGUAGGGGUAACUGGAAUUCCUGGUGUAGCGGUGAAAUGCGCAGAUAUCAGGAGGAACACCGAUGGCGAAGGCAGGUUACUGGGCAGUUACUGACGCUGAGGAGCGAAAGCAUGGGUAGCAAACAGG
RNAcentral lists this ribosomal RNA (410 nucleotides) under uncultured Corynebacterium sp. RNAcentral's name for it is "bacterial SSU rRNA". It matches the Rfam family "Bacterial small subunit ribosomal RNA", at positions 355 to 776 of the family's 1533-position model. The record is from RNAcentral. Lineage: Bacteria; Bacillati; Actinomycetota; Actinomycetes; Mycobacteriales; Corynebacteriaceae.